UAAGGAAUAUUGGUCAAUGGACGCAAGUCUGAACCAGCCAUGCCGCGUGGAGGAUGAAGGUCCUCUGGAUUGUAAACUUCUUUUAUCUGGGAAGAAACCCNCGAWUUCUUUUGUGGUUGACGGUACCAGAUGAAUAAGCACCGGCUAACUCCGUGCCAGCAGCCGCGGUAAUACGGAGGGUGCAAGCGUUAUCCGGAUUCACUGGGUUUAAAGGGUGCGUAGGYGGGYWGGUAAGUCAGUGGUGAAAUCUCCGRGCUUAACUCGGAAACUGCCAUUGAUACUAUCUGUCUUGAAUAYCGUGGAGGUNAGCGGAAUAUGUCAUGUAGCGGUGAAAUGCUUAGAUAUGACAUAGAACACCAAUUGCGAAGGCAGCUSGCUACACKAWUAUUGACACUGAGGCACGAAAGCGUGGGGAUCAAACAGGAUUAGAUACCCUGGUAGUCCACGCCCUAAACGAUGGAUACUCGACAUMCGCGAUACACUGUGUGUGUCUGAGCGAAAGCAUUAAGUAUCCCACCUGGGAAGUACGAYCGCAAGRUUG
RNAcentral lists this ribosomal RNA (541 nucleotides) under uncultured bacterium. RNAcentral's name for it is "partial 16S ribosomal RNA". It matches the Rfam family "Bacterial small subunit ribosomal RNA", at positions 355 to 896 of the family's 1533-position model. The record is from RNAcentral.